AGGAAGUGCUCUCAGACUCCACGCCCGUGGGAGUAGUGAGAGGCAUAGGAUGGGACAGAAGGAGAUGCUAAACAGUGAUGCAGAAGCAGCGAAGACCUCCGCAAUCCUGCAGGGAAGCUUGGGAGCUGGUACGGCCCUGCAGAGAUGCACUGAGCCUGACUGCUGCUGGAGCCCAGUGUGAGUCCUGGCAGAAGAAAUCUGCAAACCCUAGUCAGAUGUGUUUCAGCUUUGCAGUGGAUGGUAGGGCCACCCUCCCGUUGGGGUCAGGUCAGAGGACAUGACUCUUUAACAUUACUGAAAUUACAAGUUUCUUGAAUACAAGAUGAAGGAAGAGGUCAAAUAUCAAGUAGGAAGCCAAGCUGCCAUGUUGUAAGCUGCCCUAUGAAGGGACCCACAUGGCAAAGAAUGGAGAAUGACCCCAGCCAGCCAAGAACUCUCAGCCUACCGGCCCAUGAGGAACUGAAUCCUGCCAACAGCGAUGUGAGUGAACUUGGAAGUGGAUCCUUCUCCAGUGGCACCAUCAGGUGAGACUAUAGCCCCAGCCAACAUGGGAGUUGUUUCAGAAGAAAGGAAGUAUUAAGCCAGAUGCUUUACAGACUUUAUCUUGGACCUCAAAUUCAUUCUGUGAGAUACAUGUUGGUAUCUCCAUUGUGUAGAUAAGAAAACCAAGACUCAAAAAGGUGAAAACUUACUAAAUGUCAUAUGAUGAAUGAAUAGAAGAGAGGGGAUUUGAACUCAGGACUGAUAACACAAAAGCCCACACUCUGGUUAUUGCAGAAAUAUACUGUGUUUUUAUUUCCACGUUUCCAUCAGAACUUAAAAAUAAAAAUGGACAGUUGCUCAAUUAUCCCACUAACAAACAUAUGGCAGCAGCAAGAACUGGGACCACAGCACCAUGCUAACCAAGGCCAGGCCUUCCCUGAGUUGGUAUACACUCCCGUACAGCAGCAUCAGAAGCUGCUCAGAGCCUGCAACAUCCUCUUGAGGCAGAAUCCUCCAUGUGCAAAGUGAUCUAAUGGUCAGUUUUUAAAAGAAAAUAGCUGAAUCUGAUGCCAGUAUGGGCUAAGUACUACUUCUAAGAACCUUACAUGUCUUAACUCACUUAAACAAUCCUACAAGAAAGGCACUAUUAUAGUCAUCCAAUUUACGGAUGAGGAGACCAAGGCACAGAGAAUUUAGAUAAUUUUCUCCCAGACAUUCAGCUAUAAGGAGCAGAGCCAGGAUUUAAACUCUGACAAUUUGUCUCCACAGUCGCAUACAAGACCCCCAGAAUUCUCUCCUUGGUCCCAGGCUAUCAUGUUGCCUGGGUUCCCAAUACAGCACUGGGUGUAGCUGGCCUUGGUUCCAGGCCUUCACCUUCUGGAUUCAACCUGGCUACCAACACCCUUGAUUCUGACUUUCUCCAUUCACCUCCUCGUUCCCAGUUCCCAGCUAGCCCUUUCUGCCUUGACCCCAUCUGCCCUGGCUCUUAAGCUGUUCACACCUGCAUCCCAUCCCAUGCCUGCACCCCAGCCCUCACCUGCCUCCUGACCUGUCUUACAGCUCACCAUCCAGCCCGCCUGAGGCUCUGCCCACUGACAGGCUACUCCCAGGACAAUACUAGCUCCCCAGGACAAGCACUACACCCAGACGGCAUGUCAUUCAACAAGUCGGGGGCAGGCUUAAGGUGAAAAAUCAUCCCAAUUCUGGAGAUAUUAUCUGAAAAAAAAAGACUGUUUUCAGGAAACAAUCUUCCCAUCUGUGGUGAUUUUUAAAAUAUAGUUCCCAAAUUUUAUGUGGGAAAGGAAAGUAGCAAUAUAGAUGCAGGAAGAGCAUUACUGUGUGGAUAAAAAGAUGAUGUAUGCAAAUGAACAUGCUCAGCCUAGAACUUAAAUUAAAGUUACUGCCUGAUAUGGUAGGUACUGUGGUCUGAAUGUGUCCCCCAGAGUUCAUGUGUUGGAAACUUAAUCUCCAGUGCAACAAUGUUGAGCAAUGGAACCUUUAAGAAGUGACUGGGUCAGGAGAGUUCUGCCCUCAUGAAUGAAUUAAUGUCAUUAUUGCAAGAGUUAGUUAUUGCAGGAGUAGGUUCCUGAUUAAAAAGUGAGUCCACCCCCACUUCUCUCUCUUUUUCUGUCACGCACAUAUGCACUCUCUUGCCCUUCUACCUUCCACCAUGUGAUGACACAGCAAGAAGGCCCUCACCAGAUGCAGGCCUCUCAACCUUGGACUUUCCAGCCUCCAGAAUUGUAAGAAAUAAAUCUCUAUUCUUUAUAAAUUACCUAGUCUCUGGCAUUCUGUUACAGCAGCACAAAAUGAAUUAAGACAGUAGGAAAGAUCAUUGACACUGUUACAGACCUCUAAGGCAUGAUGAAAAAGCAAAUAUGCCCAUGUUUAUGCAAAUAGCAGAGUCAGUUAAAGAGGCCAUAACAUUGAUCAUAUGGGACUUCAAUAGCCCUGAAAUGGAUUAGAACAAGAAUUAUGGGAUGGUAAGGAGAGGCCACAGAGCUAGCAGUGAUCAGAAGCUCUUUUCCAGGAGACUUUGUUGAGCAAUCAAAAAGAUCAUGGGCUAUUGGGGGCAGCUAUCUGAAAAGUUGAAUGCAAUGAAGGAUGAAGGAUGGGGCUAAAAUGCUAAAAGCAGCGUUUUCAACCAAGUUGCAUUUCAAUUUAGUCUUCCCAUCUGUGGUGAUUUUAAAAAUAUAGUUCCCAAAUUGCCGGUAGCAUCUGGGGAGCAGGGUCUGUGGGCAGACACCUGCUCACCAGUGAACAUUUGGAAUGACAUUUCUGGAGGGAGGUGUCAUUGUGGCUUAGAGAUUAAUCCAUAAAGAAGACAGACUUAGGGAAUCCCAGAGUAGCAGAGCUGGGAAGCCCUCGAAGAUAACAGAGCCAAACUGCCCAGAGAGGGUAAGUGACAUACUCAAUGUCACACAGCCAGUAAUUAAUGGAGAAGGGGCUGGAACUCCACUUUUCUAAGUCUCUGUUUAGGACUGCAACAUCCCCUGGAGUGAGUGAAAGGAAAGUUCUCGAAGGAAUCUCCUCAAAAGGGAUGUAGAAUAAGAGUGAAGUUGUUGCCUCAGAAAAAAAAAAAAGUGAAAAAUGAAUAACGAUUGAUAAAUUCAGAUCUCCAUUCUCGUCAGAAAAUAAAAUUUCUGGUAAUUAUUAUCCCUCACUACCUUAGAGAAAACAAGAAGAAUGAAGAUUGUCCUAACACAAUUAUGUAAAGGCAAGUCUAAGAAAGGAGAAGGAGUUGAUUCCCAUGUAGAAGUCAACCAUCUAGGCUAACUGUUCAUCCCACCCCAAUGCCUCAAACCCAGGCUGCCCACCUAUUUAUCACACUUUUGCAGGUCUGUGAAAGUCAGCAACAAAUACCGUAUCUAUUCCAGGAGAUUGUCCUAGAGCCUCCUCAAUUUCUCUGUGGACACUAUGCCUGCUCUUGUCUCCCUGGUUCUGAUUUCCAUGUCUGCUGCCAGUUUUAACAUUGUUCCUGGCCUUCUCAUAUUAGUCACCUAAGCCCCUCCUCUUGGGCCUUGGGUCUCAGCCUCAUCUCAUCCUAACACUUCCUACUAACCUGGUGAGAAGCUCCCUGCUCUAGCUAUAGCCCGCUAAGCCUGUAUGCUGGCCUAGCUCCCAGAUGCUCUCAAGUAAAAACAAAAAAGUAGACAUUUUGUCUUGAACCCUAAGUUUCCAUGCUGGGGGGAGGGAUAAGAUUAUGACCACUAUCCAUACCCCAUCUCUUGAGAAUUUGGAGCUGUGGGACGAAAAAGAAGAACCAGAGAGUUGGCUGCAGCUGGCAGAAGAAAAAGGACAGAUGGUUCCCCACAGGAAAGGCACCAUCGGCUGAAGUACCAGCCUCACUCCUGUGGCUCCUACCUGCCAUGGUGCAGGUGCAUGUGUAUGCAUGUGUGUGUGCAUGUGUGUAUGUGUCGCCACCCUGUGAUACAGGGUUGCAAGCCCCACCUGCUUGGGCCUAUGCAAAGACCUACCAAAAAAUUCUCUCAUUUGC
Molecule: long non-coding RNA, 3979 nt
Filed under: Homo sapiens (human)
Lineage: Eukaryota; Metazoa; Chordata; Mammalia; Primates; Hominidae
Description: HSALNT0361416
Source: RNAcentral